CAAGUGAAUCUUGAUUUUAACCACAUGACAAGCUCCUAAGGGUCUACACAGCUUGACCACACUCAAUGCUCAUAAGCAGUAAAUAGUAAAUGUGUGGCUCAAAGUCUAGCAAGCAUGUAUAUAUGGCUGUGGUAGGAAUUUAAACUCUCAUCAUACAGGAACUCAUCAUGCAAUAUUUAAAGAUUUUCAAAGAUAAAAUUCUCUAAAAUUCUAGCAUCUCUAGGAACAGAUAAACAGCAGCUCAACCUUCCCAUAUCAUAUCCGUUAACAACUUAGACUUCAGAUCAAGUUUUCUUCCCACAAGUUUAGUUUUAGAGAAAGUUUUAAAUUAUAACAGUUAUAUCUAAACUUGAGAGAGAAUUUCAAAUUUUAAAAUUUAGGCAGAGCAACUAUUCAUCAUAUCCAUGCUAGAGUUUUAUUAUUAAGAUUCAGAUUAGCAUAGCCACUUUAUUUAUUUAUUAAACACACUAUGCAAAAGAUAUAUCUAUAUAAGCACAAAAACUUUAUUUGGUUUUCCAUAGUUAUGUAUAUUUAUAUUUUAAUAUAGUAUAAGUAUAAAGAUAGAUAGUAAUACUUAGCGGGAUAAAUGGGUGUGCUCUCCCCCAAGCUGAAUUUUGACGUAAUUUCUCUUGAUGUAGCUAGCAGGUGGCAGAGGUGUAUUUGAAAGUCAGCAGCAUCUUGACAGCGAUUAGAAUGUCCUCCGUCUGCUAGUCUUCUCGAUUCUUAAAUUCUGUGGAGCUCAAAUAUACAACAAAGCUUUGUGGAACUGAUUAAGUGUUAGCAUAAAUGUCUAGCCUUCAUCGUGUUGAGACUCCUUAAUAAAUAUUACUCCCUAUUUUUUUAUAUUUUCAUUUCAUAAAGCAGAAAAGAAAUAUUUAUUUUAUUUUUAUGCCACCAUAGUGAAUGUACUUAGGGGUUUCAUGCCACUCAUAUACUCACAUGGGGCUUACUGUUUUUUAACAUUUUUAUUUUCUUUUUAGGAUAGUCUGAACAUGAUUAACUAAGCAAACUAUUUUAAACAAUUGAAAGGGAAAAGGAUAACUACCAAGUUUACCUCUUGCCAAGGCGUUCGGUGUUUUUAAGUCCUUCGAAUGGGACUCUCCGUUUUCUCAGUUGUCCUGGGAUUCGUUGGGUGGCGUACUCGGUGCUUCCGGCAGCGCCUCUUCUUCAUGUAUAGUUAUCUUUUCUUUCCACACCUGACUCGGUGCUAUGGUCUCCUCUGGAUAAUUCUGUUUAAACUGUAUGUCUUCUGACCUUACAACUUCUCCUUCGUAGUCUGCCCAUCUGUCCUUGAUGAUUUCUGUAACAGAACCGUCCAAUUUAUAAGAAUUCAAGUGAAUUAGCGACCACGGAGGCAGUCAAGCCAAUGGACUUGAACCCAUAUAAACCCGGUAGUCCGAUGAAAUCUCAAAAGACCUCGAUUCAACCAACAUACAACCAAGAUCGUACAUGAUCAAGCAUCACCAUCACAUAUUACAACAUUCAUCACAGAACAUAGUUUUACAUCACAUCAGAGUUUAAAGAGGUUAUUACAAACCAUAGCGGUAGCGGAAACAAAGUAGUUUUGAAGCAACACCAACUCAGUUUAUAAUACAUGCCAGUGCCAUGGUCAAGUCCCAGCAAAAGCACAACUGAAGAUAAAGGAGGUGAUCAUGCCCGUGAUCUAUUCAUCAUCCGCAGCUGGGUGAUGACAGUUAGCGCAAUAGCCGUGAUAGACGACAUCAUCUGCAACAGGGGUAAAUAAAACCCUGAGUACGAGAAUGUACUCAGCUAGACUUACCCGUCAUAAACCAGAAAUAAAGUGACACCAAGGAGUAUGCAAGGCUGAUCUUUGUGGGCUGGUUUGACUCACCUUUUGCAUAGAAGCCUUUGUUAUAAGUAAUUCAUUUAUCAGAUUUCAGCAGCAAGAUCAUUACUUAGCAACUAUCCACUAGAUUAGCACCUGCUCUAAGCAUACACUUGAGUCUUUAAGCAUUACAAUAAUAACCAUAUCCGGAUUAUCACAUAGCCAUCAACAUUCUCAUCAUAACCAUUAAGUUUAUUUAGUGAGUUCUACAUUGCCGCUGCCCAAGUCAAGUUCUCACUAUCCGGG
RNAcentral lists this long non-coding RNA (2092 nucleotides) under Sorghum bicolor (sorghum). RNAcentral describes it as "long non-coding RNA (SBIC_LNC014129)". Lineage: Eukaryota; Viridiplantae; Streptophyta; Magnoliopsida; Poales; Poaceae. The record is from RNAcentral.